This 1506-nucleotide long non-coding RNA is filed under the name Zonotrichia albicollis (white-throated sparrow). Its description in RNAcentral is "lncRNA (ENSZALG00000001894.1)". The record is from RNAcentral. Lineage: Eukaryota; Metazoa; Chordata; Aves; Passeriformes; Passerellidae.
AUCUCCAGGCAGGUGUCUCUUUUAUUUUGGUGUCAUUUCCCUCAGAGAUGAUUCCCAGGAUCUCCAGGCAGGUGUCUCUUCUUUUUUCAUGGCAUUUCCCCUCAGAGAUGAUCUUCAGGAUCUCCAGGCAGGUGUCUCUUUUAUUUUGGUGCCAUUUCCCUCAGAGAUCAUCUCCAGGAUCUCCAGGCAGGUAUCUCUUUUAUUUUGGUGUCAUUUCCCUCAGACAUGAUCUCCAUGCAGGUGUCUCUUCUUUUUUAGUGCCAUUUCUCCUCACAGAUCAUCUCCAGGAUCUCCAGGCANCUUUCAGUGCACACAAGAUUUCUGGAUCUCCCAGCACUGGUGAUGCUGCCCUGGAUCUGAAAGCUCCAUCAGUCACCAAAUUGCUCAGGGUUUUGUCAUCCCAAAGGCCUUUCCCAGCUCUUUAUGAGGUGCUAAAUUCUCUGGGUUCACCCUGGGCCGCUGCAUCCUUGCUGGUGGCUCGUGUUCCUGCUGUCUGUGGGAAAUGAUUUGAAGCUGGGAGGAUGAGCUGGGGGGCAGCUUUUUAAUUCCUGACAUUUUUUAUUUUUUUUUAAACUCCUGACACAUUUCACAGAGAUGUUCUCCUGCCUCAGGACGUGCUCAUCCCACAGAAGGGGAUGCAGCAAAACCAACCUGGGGCUGCUCCCUCCAGUCUCUGCUUCCCGAAUUUGUCACAUCUCCAAGGAGCUCAGGGAAGACUGAAGGGAUGUUGAAGGUGCAGAAACACCUGGCAAACACCUCCAGAGCUGUGUGUUGGGAUGAGGAUGAGGAUGAGGAUGAAGCUCUGCUGCUCCCCUGCAGCCCCUGGUUCUCCCCACACUUCCCCUGACAGAAAUGUGACAUUUUAUAUUAUAUUUAUAUUUAUAUAUAAUAUUUAUAUAAUUUAUAUAAAUAUAUAAUAUUUAUAUAAUUUAUAUAUAUUAUAUUUAUAUUUAUAUUUAUAUUUAUAUUUAUAAUGUGCCAUUUUAUUUUAUAUUCAGCUCAAACUCCUGUUCUUUUUGCUGAGUUUGGUGCAAUUGGGGCCGAGGGGAGGCAGGAGGAAUUCCUUCAAACCUCUGAUUCCAGGGAUGUGGCUGCCCAGAGAGCCACAGCCAUUCUUCUGAGCGUUUCUGCUCUUUCCUUAAUCAUCUCCAGAUUUUCUGCUUGCUGCUGACUUCAAAGCAGGCACUCUUGAGGUGCAGCCUCCCAAAAUGAUACUGAAAGCUGGUGUCUUCAUCCCCCAGGAGGAGCACACAGAGCUCCCAGAUUUUUCUCAUCCUUUAGAGCUUUUUACCUCUUUUUUUUUCUUUUUUUUCUAUGACAUUUUUAAACACAGCCUUUGGUCACCCUGCAGAUGGGUGUUUUCUAGACUUUUGAGUUUUUCUCCAGGUCCCAGCGUGAUCACAGUUGGUUCACAGAGGGAUUUAUUUCAAGGAUUAUCAAUUCGCUGGGUUAUCUUUGGCAGCAGGAAGGGUUUUUUCUGAUAGAAUUUCAACCCCUGCCUUCUUU